The sequence is a transfer RNA, 74 nucleotides long. It matches the Rfam family "tRNA". Rfam says of the family: Transfer RNA (tRNA) molecules are approximately 80 nucleotides in length. Their secondary structure includes four short double-helical elements and three loops (D, anti-codon, and T loops).
GUGAGUGUAGCUCAGUGGUUUAGAGCACUGGUCUGUGGAACCAGGGGCCGUGGGUUCAAAUCCCAUCACUCACC